Molecule: ribosomal RNA, 483 nt
Filed under: uncultured bacterium
Lineage: Bacteria
Description: partial 16S ribosomal RNA
Rfam family: Bacterial small subunit ribosomal RNA
Source: RNAcentral
GACGAACGCUGGCGGCGUGCUUAACACACGCAAGUCGAACGCUGAAGCUCAGCUUUUGUUGGGUGGAUGAGUGGCGAACGGGUGAGUAACACGUGAGUAACCUGCCCCCUUCUUUGGGAUAACGCCCGGAAACGGGUGCUAAUACUGGAUAUUCACUGGUCUUCGCAUGGGGGUUGGUGGAAAGGGUUUUUCUGGUGGGGGAUGGGCUCGCGGCCUAUCAGCUUGUUGGUGGGGUGAUGGCCUACCAAGGCUUUGACGGGUAGCCGGCCUGAGAGGGUGACCGGUCACAUUGGGACUGAGAUACGGCCCAGACUCCUACGGGAGGCAGCAGUGGGGAAUAUUGCACAAUGGGCGCAAGCCUGAUGCAGCGACGCCGCGUGAGGGAUGGAGGCCUUCGGGUUGUGAACCUCUUUCGCUCAUGGUCAAGCCGCAACAAUGGUUGUGGUGAGGGUAGUGGGUAAAGAAGCGCCGGCUAACUACGUG